This 426-nucleotide ribosomal RNA is filed under the name uncultured bacterium. Its description in RNAcentral is "partial 16S ribosomal RNA". It matches the Rfam family "Bacterial small subunit ribosomal RNA", at positions 354 to 796 of the family's 1533-position model. The record is from RNAcentral.
GUGAGGAAUUUUCCGCAAUGGGCGAAAGCCUGACGGAGCAAUGCCGCGUGAAGGAUGAAGGCCUAUGGGUUGUAAACUUCUUUUCUCAGAAAAGAAUUAUGACGGUAUCUGAGGAAUAAGCAUCGGCUAACUCUGUGCCAGCAGCCGCGGUAAGACAGGGGAUGCAAGCGUUAUCCGGAAUGAUUGGGCGUAAAGCGUCUGUAGGUUGUUUAAAAAGUAUUCUGUCAAAGAUUAGGGCUUAUCCCUAGAUAGGCAGAAUAAACUUUUAAGCUAGAGUGUGGUAGAGGCAGAGGGAAUUCCCGGUGGAGCGGUGAAAUGCGUAGAUAUCGGGAGGAACACCAAAGGCGAAGGCACUCUGCUGGGCCAAUACUAACACUGAGAGACGAAAGCGAGGGGAGCAAAUGGGAUUAGAAACCCGUGUAGUCC